ACUGGGCAUGGUAGCACAUACCUGUAAUCCCAGUGGCUUGGGAGGCUGAGGCAGGGGAAUUGCUAGUUCAAAGCCAGCCUCAGCAACUUAGUGAGGUGUUAAACAACUCAGUGAGACCCUGUCUCUA
This 127-nucleotide small RNA is filed under the name Marmota monax (woodchuck). The record is from RNAcentral. Lineage: Eukaryota; Metazoa; Chordata; Mammalia; Rodentia; Sciuridae.